This 253-nucleotide ribosomal RNA is filed under the name uncultured bacterium. RNAcentral's name for it is "partial 16S ribosomal RNA". It matches the Rfam family "Bacterial small subunit ribosomal RNA", at positions 524 to 776 of the family's 1533-position model. The record is from RNAcentral.
UACGGAAGGUGCGAGCGUUGUCCGGAAUCACUGGGCGUAAAGGGCGCGUAGGCGGCCGUGUAAGUCACUUGUGAAAUCCCGGGGCUCAACCCCGGGGCUGCAGGUGAGACUGCGUGGCUAGAGCACGGUAGAGGCGAGUGGAAUUCCCGGUGUAGCGGUGGAAUGCGUAGAUAUCGGGAAGAACACCGGUGGCGAAGGCGGCUCGCUGGGCCGUUGCUGACGCUGAGGCGCGAAAGCGUGGGGAGCGAACAGG